ACCCUCUGGAUGCCUUACCCCUGGGACCUAAAUAUUGAUCUGAGAGGCUAAAAAAUAGGAGGGAAAGUAAAACUGGAGUGGACUUUGUGAGUAUUUAGUGACAUACAAGUUCAUUUCAAACAUUA
This 125-nucleotide small nucleolar RNA is filed under the name Echinops telfairi (small Madagascar hedgehog). RNAcentral's name for it is "Small nucleolar RNA SNORA61 (ENSETEG00000024861.1)". Lineage: Eukaryota; Metazoa; Chordata; Mammalia; Afrosoricida; Tenrecidae. The record is from RNAcentral.